This 460-nucleotide ribosomal RNA is filed under the name uncultured bacterium. RNAcentral's name for it is "partial 16S ribosomal RNA". It matches the Rfam family "Bacterial small subunit ribosomal RNA", at positions 338 to 795 of the family's 1533-position model. The record is from RNAcentral.
CCUACGGGCGGCUGCAGUGAGGAAUAUUGGUCAAUGGACGAGAGUCUGAACCAGCCAAGUCGCGUGAAGGAUGACUGCCCUAUGGGUUGUAAACUUCUUUUAUAAAGGAAUAAAACGAGGCACGUGUGCCUUUUUGCAUGUACUUUAUGAAUAAGGAUCGGCUAACUCCGUGCCAGCAGCCGCGGUAAUACGGAGGAUCCGAGCGUUAUCCGGAUUUAUUGGGUUUAAAGGGAGCGUAGAUGGGUUGUUAAGUCAGUUGUGAAAGUUUGCGGCUCAACCGUAAAAUUGCAAUUGAUACUGGCAGUCUUGAGUACAUUUGAGGUAGGCGGAAUUCGUGGUGUAGCGGUGAAAUGCUUAGAUAUCACGCAGAACCCCGAUUGCGAAGGCAGCUUACUAAGCUGUGACUGACAUUGAUGCUCGAAAGUGUGGGUAUCGAACAGGAUUAGAUACCCUUGUAGUC